This 263-nucleotide unclassified non-coding RNA is filed under the name plant metagenome. RNAcentral describes it as "partial contains small subunit ribosomal RNA, internal transcribed spacer 1, and 5.8S ribosomal RNA". The record is from RNAcentral.
UUUCCGUAGGUGAACCUGCGGAAGGAUCAUUAUUGUAUAACCGAGGUGCGAGGGCUGUCGCUGACCCGAAAGGUCGUGCACGCCCGAGUGCCCUCACACGCAUCCAUCUCACCCCUAUGUGCACCACCGCGUGGGUCCCCCUUUGGCUUGUUCGGAGGGGGGCUUACGUUUUCACACAAACUUUGUAUGCAGUGUAGAAUGUAUUUUUUGUUCUUGCGAUCACGCAAUCAAUACAACUUUCAACAACGGAUCUCUUGGCUCUC